GGGAGAAGGAGGUCCUGCUGGUCCCGCUGGUCCUGCUGGUGCCCGUGGUAUCCCUGGUGAACGUGGUGAGCCUGGUCCUGUAGGUCCCAGUGGAUUUGCUGGACCUCCUGGUGCAGCUGGUCAGCCUGGUGCUAAAGGAGAGCGUGGGCCCAAGGGACCUAAGGGUGAAACUGGCCCAACAGGUGCCAUUGGCCCAAUCGGUGCUUCUGGACCACCAGUAAGUGAAUUGUGUCCUUGUGAAAUGCAUAGUUCUCAACUGUGCCAUGCAAGCAAUACAUUAGCCUGAAAGCCUUGAAUUCUGAACAGGUAAUGAAAGAAAGAAACAAAACUUCAGGCUAGCCUGUGAGAAAAGUUACCAUGCUGAUUUUCACACAUUAUGUAAAUUUUAUCAAUCUAUUUAUGUGGGCUCAGAUCGUGAGUCUGGAACUGAAAUGAAGAGAAAACAAUAACUAAUUUUCAACUUGCUCUGAAGAUCAGCAAAAUCACUCUAUCUUGGACCAUUCAGGGGGUGAUUGUGGGUAAGUUCUGAGCUGAGGACGUUGACACUUUUCUCUCAAAGAUGGGAUGUGCUGUCACAGUC
This is a long non-coding RNA of Passer montanus (Eurasian tree sparrow), 580 nucleotides long. RefSeq lists it as uncharacterized. Lineage: Eukaryota; Metazoa; Chordata; Aves; Passeriformes; Passeridae. The record is from RefSeq and is a predicted model, not a curated record. The transcript is spliced from 3 exons.